RNAcentral lists this transfer RNA (70 nucleotides) under Jenkinsia lamprotaenia (dwarf round herring). RNAcentral's name for it is "tRNA-Phe". It matches the Rfam family "tRNA". Rfam says of the family: Transfer RNA (tRNA) molecules are approximately 80 nucleotides in length. The record is from RNAcentral. Lineage: Eukaryota; Metazoa; Chordata; Actinopteri; Clupeiformes; Clupeidae.
GCUCACGUAGCUUAACCUUAAAGCAUAACACUGAAGAUGUUAAGAUAAGCCCUAGAAAGCUUCGCGGGCA